UCCCCCUUCCUUCUCUCGCCCCUAAGAGAGUCCAACUCUCUAAGCCCCGGGAGCUCCGAGAACAGAGGCCCCGGGAAGAAAAGAAAAGGGGGGUGGGGGGAGUGAUGCUCCCUUGCCUUUCGCACCAGCCUCGUAGCUCCAGCUAGCCCUACCUGGCUCCCGCCCCACACGCCCAGGUAACAGCCUCGAGGGCAACGUGCACGGCCGAGAAUCUGGCGGGGACCCGGCGCUCUUACCUCGGUCUCACAGCCGCGUCCUCUCGGCUGAAGAAGAAAAGCCUCGAGGCCCGAGCGCGCCGGGGAGAAGCGCGUCCGCCCGCGCCGCUCCGGGGGCUCCCUCAGCGCCCCCCCAGCAGCAGCCGCCGCAGCGGCCGCGCCACGGCCCCGAGCCGCCAGCUCCACCUCAUCCUGCGGAGCGGUCGGGGAGGCGGGCGGCCGCGCCGCACCUCUCUGCGCGGAUGAGCUAAUCCACACCCCCAAAAGUGCCGUGGGGGAGGGUGCUGGGGUCCUGGCCGCAAACCUUCGACCCUUUGGCCAAAGCCUAAUCUCUCUCCCUCCCCGACUCAGGCCCCCAAACUCAGCCCCCGGGUCCCCCGGAAUCCUGAGAAAACAAUGUUGUGGGGGAGAACGAGGAGCGGGAAGGCGCGCGCCGCGGCGUGAGCGAGCGGGCGAUCCUGGGCAGCCUUAGCGUGUGAGAGUGCAGGAGGCGCUCCGUCACCCCCCUCCGUCCCCGCCUUCCCUUCUUCCUCCUCCUCUGUCUCCUCCUCCCCCCUCAGGCACACCCCGUCUCCUAGGCCGCAGCAUAGCAACGCAACAUGGCGGCUGCGCAGGCGCCGCCACUCGGCGGCCGGGAGCAGCGACCGCAGUGAGGGGCAGCGGUCUCGCGAGAACCCCUGCCCUGUUCCCGCCGGGAGGAGAGGCUGCGCCCGCGGGAGCGCGGAGGGACACGCAGCUUUGCCAGGCCUCGUCAGGACCCUUCUGGAACGUCACCUGCUGCCAAUGACCUCACCCCCCUUCUGCAAGGUGGCUUGGUCCCAUGCAGCCUCUGAUCUCCAGGCUGAAGUCAUAAGAGUCUCCUCUCAGUUACACUUGCUGUCACCUCCCAACCUCGCCCCAGGAGCCUAGCAACUCCCCUCUGCCUUCUAGCUCCUCUCUGCUCAAAGUGCUUCUGAGGACCCUCAUCAACUGAGAAAUGCAGAAUCUCAGGCCCCACCCCGGACCUACUGAACCUGAAUCGACUUUUUUUACAAGAUUCCCAUGGAACUCCUAAGCAUUCUUGUCCAGAAAUGUCAUCAGAGGCCUCAGAGGCAAUAGCAGGUGCCAAGAAGUCCCACAUCCACCCUCUGCAGGACAAGCUAAGGGAAUGGUGAACUUCCUCUGCCGGCAUUAGCCCUGCACC
Molecule: long non-coding RNA, 1398 nt
Filed under: Dasypus novemcinctus (nine-banded armadillo)
Lineage: Eukaryota; Metazoa; Chordata; Mammalia; Cingulata; Dasypodidae
Description: lncRNA (ENSDNOG00000050501.1)
Source: RNAcentral